This 433-nucleotide ribosomal RNA is filed under the name uncultured bacterium. RNAcentral describes it as "partial 16S ribosomal RNA". It matches the Rfam family "Bacterial small subunit ribosomal RNA", at positions 29 to 507 of the family's 1533-position model. The record is from RNAcentral.
AACGAACGCUGGCGGCAUGCCUAACACAUGCGAGUCGAACGAGACCUUCGGGACUAGUGGCGCACGGGUGCGUAACGCGUGGGAACCUGCCCUUAGGUUCGGAAUAACUCCCCGAAAGGGGUGCUAAUACCGGAUAAUGUCUUCGGACCAAAGAUUUAUCGCCUUUGGAUGGGCCCGCGUUGGAUUAGCUAGUUGGUAGGGUAAAAGCCUACCAAGGCGACGAUCCAUAGCUGGUCUGAGAGGAUGAUCAGCCACACUGGGACUGAGACACGGCCCAGACUCCUACGGGAGGCAGCAGUGGGGAAUAUUGGACAAUGGGCGAAAGCCUGAUCCAGCAAUGCCGCGUGAGUGAUGAAGGCCUUAGGGUUGUAAAGCUCUUUUACCCGGGAUGAUAAUGACAGUACCGGGAGAAUAAGCCCCGGCUAACUCCGUG